AUGAGCAAGGGAUUUAAAGUACCUGAGGGAAAGUUUUACCUAGUUGACGGGGGUUAUGCAAACACUCAGUCAUUUCUCGCACCUUAUCGGGGUGUCCGAUAUCAUUUGAAGGAAUUUGGUCAUGGACAUCCUCGGCCACAAAACCACAAGGAAUUGUUCAAUCAUCGGCAUGCUGUUCUACGGAGCCAUGUGGAAAGGUCCCUAGGAAUUCUUAAAAAGCGCUUCCCAAUUCUUCACGUCGGCACACUGCAUUCAAUCGAGAACCAAGUGAAACUUCCCGCAGUUGCCGUAGUUCUUCACAAUAUCAUCAAAAUGGAGAAUGGUGACGAGACUUGGCUUGACAACCAGCCCGAUAACAUAGCGCCAAAUGCUUUUGUUGAUCUCCCGAAUGGCGACGAGAAUAACUAUGGGAACAACGACUUAGGGAACACUCUAAGGGAUGAAAUCGCAAUGCAAAUGUGGGAAGCAUACCAUCCUGAAUAG
This 483-nucleotide ribosomal RNA is filed under the name Triticum aestivum (bread wheat). RNAcentral's name for it is "partial small subunit ribosomal RNA". The record is from RNAcentral. Lineage: Eukaryota; Viridiplantae; Streptophyta; Magnoliopsida; Poales; Poaceae.